Molecule: ribosomal RNA, 969 nt
Filed under: uncultured Chaetoceros
Lineage: Eukaryota; Bacillariophyta; Thalassiosirophyceae; Chaetocerotales; Chaetocerotaceae
Description: partial Bacterial large subunit ribosomal RNA
Rfam family: Bacterial large subunit ribosomal RNA
Source: RNAcentral
GGGGCUCAAGUACCCGCCGAAGUUGUGGCAUUCACAUAUAUCCCAAGCCGGAGACUUGUUCUCCUGGUUCAAGGGUGUGGAUGGGUAGGGGAGCGUCGUGUGGGCAGUGAAGUCGCGGUGUAAACCAGCGGUGGAGCCUACACGAGUGAGAAUGCAGGCAUGAGUAGCGAAAGACGGGUGAGAAACCCGUCCGCCGAAUGAUCAAGGGUUCCAGGGUCAAGCUAAUCUGCCCUGGGUAAGUCGGGACCUAAGGCGAGGCCGACAGGCGUAGUCGAUGGACAACGGGUUGAUAUUCCCGUACCGGCGAAAAACCGCCAAUACUGAUCGAGGGAUACUAACCGCCAGAAGCAUGACCGCCCACCCUUGUGGUGACGUGGUUUUUUGUGGAUCGCGGGACCUGAUCUCGGGAGGUAAGCGUAUUAACAGGUGUGACGCAGGAAGGUAGCCGAGCCGGGCGAUGGUUGUCCCGGUCUAAGGAUGUAGGGCAGGACGUAGGCAAAUCCGCGUUCUUGUGUUCGAUCACGAGCCUGAGAUCUGAUGGGACCCCCGUAUGGGGGAAUUCGGUGAUCCUAUGCUGCCGAGAAAAGCAUCGGCGCGAGGUUUUAGCCGCCCGUACCCCAAACCGACACAGGUGAUCAGGUAGAGAAUACUAAGGCGAUCGAGAGAAUUAUGGUUAAGGAACUCGGCAAAAUGCCCCCGUAACUUCGGGAGAAGGGGGGCCCCAACUGUGAUGGUGACUUGCUCACCGGAGCGGAUCAGGGCCGCAGAGACCAGGGGGAAGCGACUGUUUACUAAAAACACAGGUCCGUGCGAAGUCGCAAGACGAUGUAUACGGACUGACUCCUGCCCGGUGCUGGAAGGUUAAGAGGACCGGUUAGUUUCACGCUUGCGUGGGACGAAGCUGGGAAUUUAAGCCCCAGUAAACGGCGGUGGUAACAAUAACCAUCCUAAGGUAGCGAAAUUCCUUGU